AGCACGUUAUGGUGGGCACUCUAAGGAGACUGCCGGUGACAAACCGGAGGAAGGUGGGGAUGACGUCAAGUCAUCAUGGCCCUUACGGCCUGGGCUACACACGUGCUACAAUGGUCGGUACAAAGGGUUGCCAAGCCGCGAGGUGGAGCUAAUCCCAUAAAACCGAUCGUAGUCCGGAUCGCAGUCUGCAACUCGACUGCGUGAAGUCGGAAUCGCUAGUAAUCGUGAAUCAGAAUGUCACGGUGAAUACCGUUCCCGGGCCUU
This 264-nucleotide ribosomal RNA is filed under the name uncultured Pseudomonas sp. Its description in RNAcentral is "partial 16S ribosomal RNA". It matches the Rfam family "Bacterial small subunit ribosomal RNA", at positions 1120 to 1382 of the family's 1533-position model. The record is from RNAcentral. Lineage: Bacteria; Pseudomonadati; Pseudomonadota; Gammaproteobacteria; Pseudomonadales; Pseudomonadaceae.